UACGUAGGGUCCGAGCGUUGUCCGGAAUUAUUGGGCGUAAAGGGCUCGUAGGCGGUCUGUUGCGUCGGGAGUGAAAACUUACAGCUUAACUGUGAGCGUGCUUCCGAUACGGGCAGACUUGAGGUAUUCAGGGGAGAACGGAAUUCCUGGUGUAGCGGUGAAAUGCGCAGAUAUCAGGAGGAACACCGGUGGCGAAGGCGGUUCUCUGGGACGGUACUGACGCUGAGACGCGAAAGCGUGGGGAGCGAACAGG
This 253-nucleotide ribosomal RNA is filed under the name uncultured bacterium. Its description in RNAcentral is "partial 16S ribosomal RNA". It matches the Rfam family "Bacterial small subunit ribosomal RNA", at positions 524 to 776 of the family's 1533-position model. The record is from RNAcentral.